GACGAACGCUGGCGGCGUGCUUAACACAUGCAAGUCGAACGGUAAGGCCCUUCGGGGUACACGAGUGGCGAACGGGUGAGUAACACGUGGGUGAUCUGCCCUGCACUUCGGGAUAAGCCUGGGAAACUGGGUCUAAUACCGGAUAGGACCAUGGACUUCACGGUUUGUGGUGGAAAGCUUUUGCGGUGUGGGAUGGGCCCGCGGCCUAUCAGCUUGUUGGUGGGGUAAUGGCCUACCAAGGCGACGACGGGUAGCCGGCCUGAGAGGGUGUCCGGCCACACUGGGACUGAGAUACGGCCCAGACUCCUACGGGAGGCAGCAGUGGGGAAUAUUGGCACCAAUGGGCGCAAGCCUGAUGCAGCGACGCCGCGUGAGGGAUGACGGCC
RNAcentral lists this ribosomal RNA (386 nucleotides) under uncultured bacterium. Its description in RNAcentral is "bacterial SSU rRNA". It matches the Rfam family "Bacterial small subunit ribosomal RNA", at positions 28 to 416 of the family's 1533-position model. The record is from RNAcentral.